CCUACGGGGGGCAGCAGUAGGGAAUUUUGCACAAUGGGCGCAAGCCUGAUGCAGCAACGCCGCGUGAGUGAAGAAGGCUCUUGGGUUGUAAAGCUCUUUCGGCUGGGAAGAGGGGACCACUUGCGAACAGUUAGUGGUUCUGACGGUACCAGAAGAAGAAGCACCUGCUAACUACGUGCCAGCAGCAGCGGUAAUACGUAGGGUGCAAGCGUUGUUCGGAAUUACUGGGCGUAAAGCGCGCGUAGGCGGGUUUGCAAGUCGAUUGUGAAAGCCCUGGGCUUAACCUGGGAACUGCAGUCGAAACUGUAAAUCUUGAGUGCCUGAGAGGAUGGCGGAAUUCCCGGUGUAGUAGUGAAAUACGUAGAUAUCGGGAAGAACACCUGAGGCGAAGGCGGCUAUCUGGCGGUGCACUGACGCUAAGGCGCGAAAGCGUGGGGAGC
Molecule: ribosomal RNA, 440 nt
Filed under: uncultured bacterium
Lineage: Bacteria
Description: bacterial SSU rRNA
Rfam family: Bacterial small subunit ribosomal RNA
Source: RNAcentral